RNAcentral lists this ribosomal RNA (503 nucleotides) under Dialister invisus. RNAcentral's name for it is "bacterial SSU rRNA". It matches the Rfam family "Bacterial small subunit ribosomal RNA", at positions 28 to 495 of the family's 1533-position model. Lineage: Bacteria; Bacillati; Bacillota; Negativicutes; Veillonellales; Veillonellaceae. The record is from RNAcentral.
GACGAACGCUGGCGGCGUGCUUUACACAUGCAAAGUCGACCGAAAAGCGGAAAAGAGCUUUGCUCUUUUCAGAAUUGAGUGGCAAACGGGUGAGUAACACGUAAACAACCUGCCUUCAGGAUGGGGACAACAGACGGAAACGACUGCUAAUACCGAAUAAGUUCCAAGAGCCGCAUGGCCCAUGGAAGAGAAGGUGGCCUCUACCUGUAAGCUAUCGCCUGAAGAGGGGUUUGCGUCUGAUUAGCUGGUUGGAGGGGUAACGGCCCACCAAGGCGACGAUCAGUAGCCGGUCUGAGAGGAUGAACGGCCACACUGGAACUGAGACACGGUCCAGACUCCUACGGGAGGCAGCAGUGGGGAAUCUUCCGCAAUGGGCGAAAGCCUGACGGAGCAACGCCGCGUGAGUGAUGACGGCCUUCGGGUUGUAAAACUCUGUGAUCCGGGACGAAAAGGCAGAGUGCGAAGAACAAACUGCAUUGACGGUACCGGAAAAGCAAGCCCGG